AACGUAGGGGGCCAGCGUUGUCCGGAAUUACUGGGCGUAAAGAGCGCGUAGGCGGUUUGGUUAGCGGAGGGUGCAAUCCAGAGGCUCAACCUCUGAACUGCUCUCCGAACUGCCAGACUUGAGUACGGGAGAGGGUAGUGGAAUUCCUGGUGUAGCGGUGGAAUGCGUAAAUAUCAGGAGGAACACCCGUGGCGAAGGCUGCUACCUGGAACGUUACUGACGCUGAGGCGCGAAAGCUAGGGGAGCGAACGGG
RNAcentral lists this ribosomal RNA (253 nucleotides) under uncultured bacterium. Its description in RNAcentral is "partial 16S ribosomal RNA". It matches the Rfam family "Bacterial small subunit ribosomal RNA", at positions 524 to 776 of the family's 1533-position model. The record is from RNAcentral.